This 211-nucleotide unclassified non-coding RNA is filed under the name Hevea brasiliensis (rubber tree). Lineage: Eukaryota; Viridiplantae; Streptophyta; Magnoliopsida; Malpighiales; Euphorbiaceae. The record is from RNAcentral.
GAUAAUUGACAACAUGGCAUGUUGCAGAGAGUGAAAAUGGGAAUAAUAAGAUCGGAGUAAUGGGAAGCUACUCACAGUCAGGCCCAUCUGUGUAACAGCGUACCUACAACAAGACCAAGAAAUUACAACGUAUCUACAACAAGACCAAUAAAUUCAUAGCCACGCCCAUCUGCAUAUGGUAACAGCCUACCAGAAUUUGCAAAGCCUUUAC